Molecule: ribosomal RNA, 259 nt
Filed under: uncultured prokaryote
Description: partial 16S ribosomal RNA
Rfam family: Bacterial small subunit ribosomal RNA
Source: RNAcentral
UACGUAGGGACGAGCGUUGUCCGGAAUUACUGGGCGUAAAGGGCGCGCAGGCUGUAGAUCAAGUCAGCUGUGAAAUGUCUGGGCUUAACCCGGGCAUGCGGUUGAAACUGAUGUACUGGAGUGCUGUAGAGGCAAGUGGAAUUCCCAGUGUAGCGGUGAAAUGCGUAGAUAUUGGGAAGAACACCGGUGGCGAAGGCGACUUGCUGGGCAGCAACUGACGCUGAGGCGCGAAAGCCAGGGGAGCAAACGGGAUUAGAUA